Molecule: long non-coding RNA, 252 nt
Filed under: Elaeis guineensis (African oil palm)
Lineage: Eukaryota; Viridiplantae; Streptophyta; Magnoliopsida; Arecales; Arecaceae
Description: long non-coding RNA (EGUI_LNC022633)
Source: RNAcentral
UGUGGUUGUAACAGGUUUCAAUGAGGCUAGCUUGAAUUUUCUCUCGGAUGAGAUGGCAAUCAAUUUAGAUGUGCUUGGUAUGCAUCGUAGAAACUAGGUUGGCGGUAAUAUGUAUUGUAGGUUGACUAUCAGAAUGAAUAUUCAUAGUAUAAGGAGGGCCACAAAAUUUCGUAAGUUGUCGAAGAUAGAUAUAUUUUUCUUCGGCUGAGAAAUUGUGGAUUGUUUAUUCUUAGACUUCCAAGAAAUGAGACU